Long non-coding RNA from Esox lucius (northern pike), 2289 nucleotides. Lineage: Eukaryota; Metazoa; Chordata; Actinopteri; Esociformes; Esocidae. The record is from Ensembl.
ACACGGAAUCCAUCAAUCAUGCCUCCUGAGGUUCCUCCCACGGGCUCGUGGCUGUUGAUUUCUCUCCCUUCUCCUCUCCUUAGUGGGGGGGGGGCAUUGAUUCCCUGUCGAUUUCCCCACAAUGUAGGGAGCUGAAAAAAAACAUGUGCAAGGAAUUUGUGGAAAAUCCCAAACUACACCAUAUAACUUUGGACAAGGACGUACACCUGACUAGGCAACCUGGUCUCAGGGGACUAUGCAGACUCUUUUACGUAAAUCUUUGACAGCCACAUUCAUGAGAAAUAUUACGUUAGGUAAAGUAACGUUAGUGUAAUAUUCCAGAAAUAAUCAAUAAUCCAUAAGCUUACCUUUUUCGUUUUCUUAUCUUACCCCAAACCUUACCCUAACCUUAACCCCAGUGCUGUGAUAUCUAACCCUAACCUUAACCCCAGUGCUGUGAUACCUAACAUACAUAUCAUAUUAUAUGUUGUAAUAGCGUUUGUAAGAUAUGUUACGUUUUUUAUAAUAAUGUAUUAUACGUUUUGGUAGUGCAUUGUAACGUAACGUAUAUAAAAUCUUGUGCCAUGGAUUUACGAUGGUUCCUGUGUCAGAAUUACCGUGUGAAUCGAUGACAGAAGACGUCUGCAAGACUGCUCAAAAAUGGGAAAGAAAUGGAGGUGGGAUCUGGAAUACAUUAGUUUAUGUUUAAUUAGCUUGAGAAUAAGCAAAUGUGGUGCUACAGCUUCAUGGUAAAAGCAUCUUUCCUGUAUAGGUAGCGAGAUAGUAUCCCCUAGUAUCCCUUAGCUGGCAACUCCAACCAUGUCCAGGAGGGACUGGUUUUUGGAAUGAUGUGAAAGAGGAUUUCAAAAGCAAGAGAUUCACGAAGUAUCCUUGUUGCAUGUUUCUAAGGGCAAAGCUAAGUUGAAUGGCAGUUCAUGGCUGAAUAACGGCAGUUAUGUGAGGCAGUGCAUCUGGUUUCUGCUGCCAUCUGAAAUACUGUGCUGCACUUACAAGACUGGGAUCCGAGGAAGCAUAUCAGUGUGGGUUCCAGAUUCCUCUUCAGUAGACCUCCAUUGGUUUCCCUGCUUUUAGAUAGAUUAAACGCUGAUUAGGUAAAUGUGUGCUUCCCCUGUAAAUCCAUGAGUGUUAUGUACUCUCACCGUACGAGUACACAUAGCUGUAUAUAUCCGUAGUGUUGACUUUGUGUAUUCUGUGUCUACGGUCAAGUCAACUUAUGAAUAUACCAACCUGGUCUCAGAAGGAUUAUGCAGACUAUUUUACGUACAUUUUAGCCAGGGGAUUUCAUAAGAUAUAUUACGUUCAGUAAAAGCUGGAAUGGAGGAAAAAAAACUGAAAGCUGCAUUUCGAACCAGCGACCUUACGCAUCCCAGAUAGGUACACUAUCCACUGCUCCAGCGAGGAACCUGUAACUUGAAAUGCGAGUGGUGGUGUCACAACAUAAAUAUGUUUGAAGUGAUUUUCUUUGUAACCCUAACCCAAACCAUAACCCUAACCUUAACCCCAGUGCUGUGAUGCCUAACCUUAACCCAAACCCUUACCUGAACCCCAGAGCUGUGAGACCAAACCCUAACCAAACCUUAACCUAACCUUUUUUGUUUUCAAACCGUAGCCCAAACCUUAACCCUAACCUUAAAACAAGUGCUGUGAUAUCUAACCUACAUUUUUUUUAUUAUUUAUACGUUUUCAUAGCGUUCGUAAAUAUCAAACGUUUGUCUGGCAUUCGUAUGUUAUUUUACGUUUUAAUAGCGCUCGUAACAUUUGAUACGUUGUAAUACCGUUUGUAAGAUAUGUUACGUUUUAAUAAUUUCGUUAUAUAUCAUACGUUUUGGUGGCGCAUUGUAAUGUAACCUAACGUAACGUCACAUAUCAUACGAGAUCGGGUGCCAUGGAUUUACGUAAAAUAGUCUACGUAGUGUCCUGAGACCAGGUUGCAACAUGCACAUCCUGAUUAACACUUUGAUCACUUGGCCAGUCGCGUCAGUCACAUGAUUUCUGCUUUCUUUGCUUGAUUUUCAUUUAACUUAACAGACCUCCCACCUGAAAGUACCUUUGUCUUCUAGACUUUAAGCUUUUACAUCUUGUUUGUGUAAGAAAACUGACCAAUCACAGUUUACUGGUUUUGUGUGUGACCUAAAUGUGUGACCUAAAUGCAGUUUAAUGGUUGUUUAUCUGUGGCACCUUGAAUCCUGUUCUCUCAACAUUCUGCUGACUUGCCACUUGAGAAAUAAACAAUGAAGAAAUACAUAUAGCCCACCCAUAUCAAUGUUGCCAAAAUGUACUCAGUCUCGG